GCCAGGGAGGUGGCGGCGGCGCCGCGGGCCGGCAGCGAGCACGGCACGGCACGGCUCGGCUCGGCACGGCCCUGCGGAGACUGCGGGGCACGGCACGGCCCGGUCCUGCGGAGACUGCGGGGCACGGCACGGACACGGCCCGGCCCUGCGGAGGCUGCGGGGCACGGCUGCCGCCGCAGCGCCUCGCUCGCUGCCCACCUUGCGGCAGUGCCGCGGCCCCGGGGGCCUUGGCGCCCCCAGCAGCGGGGAGCAGCUGCGGCCGGGCCGGCGCUGCGGCGGAGGAUGCUGCGGCCGCCGCCCCGAUUACUGCACGGGGGCUGCGCGGCUGGAGGAUGCUCCGGUGGCCGGCCUGGAAAGGAGGAAAAAAGGAGGAAUUGAAGCAUCCUGGUCUUGUUUGGUUUUUUUUUUUUUCCUCGUUAAGUGAGCGUGACUAAAGAAGACAGGUAUUUUGGCAAAAGGAACCUCGGCAUAGUAACUGUUCUUGCCGAAAGUUCCCACCAAAUCAUUUAGUUAGAAUAAAGAAGACUUUGUGAAACCCCUAACAUCUGUAUCCACAUCCCACAUGCUUCAGGAAUGGCCUGGAUGAGACAAAGGGAAACAUUUGCAUCCUUGAAUGGACUUUGAUCUAUCAGACAUCCACUAGGAAACUGGAGAAGUGCUGACUGCCUUUAGGAAGAGGCUUGAAGGAUUGCAGCCCGAAGCAGUUGGCCUCUCCCACCUCUCUUUCCAGGAAGCUGGAGGUCAAAUUGGAGGUUCUGAGUUCCAGGCAGCUGAACACCAGGGCUGGGGUUUGUUUGUCCCAUGGCUUGUGCAGCACCAUCCAAAGGGCGGCAGGAGGGGCAGUGGCCACAGGGCCAGCAGCUCAUGGAGAGCAGCUGCAGCCCCAGGGAACUGGGCUGAGCCAGGCUUGCUCCACAACUGUGAUACCAUGGAGUCCAGCUCCAUGCUGCCUUUCUACCUUUGAAGUCUGCAAUAGUUUGUGGUUUGGGUUUUUUGGGUUUUUUUGGUUUUUUUUCGGACUUCUCAAAUGGCAUUGAAUUGUCAAGCAAUCAGAAGUAGAGCCUGGAAGACCUGAAAAAUAUUAACAAAUUUUUUGAACAGCAAGAGUGAUUUUUACAGGUAUGCAUAUCUCCUGUUUCUGUUGGUGUCCUAUAAAUAAGAAAAAGAGAUUUUAAAAAAUAACCUUGAAGUUAAUUUUUAAUACAGGAACCAUAAUUUAUUAAAACUAGAGAAAUUAAUUUUGGACUAAAUGCAUACCUCAGGUGCUCCAAGACAAGGAUGUAUUUAAAAUGACAAGCAAACAAAAUCCAUUACAUAGACAGAAUAAAAUUGAAGCAAGUCAUUAUUUGAAAUACAAAAAUGCAAUAUAUAUCUUAUUUUAAAAUAAGUUAGAUGAUUUCUUUUUCUACUUUCUUUUUCCACCUUUCUAAAUCUUGUGGAAGGACAUAUGCCUCAGGCAAACUCUGGAAUUAUUUCCUUUUUGAUAAAAGGGUCUUUCUGUCUUGAAGGCUAGCUGGUCAGUAAUAUAGCUAAACCUAAACAGGAGGAGGAGUAAAGCUUUUGAUUUAGUACAGUGUUUAUGUUAGGAAAGAUGUUUAAUCCUCAGUUUUCUGAAGUGUCUCUACUGUCAGAUACUACCCUAUACCAGUAUGCAACAUUCACUCUCAAAAAUGUCUGCUACCCUCUUUUUAGUGAGGUUUUUUUUUCUUAUUUUUGUAAAAUUUUUUGUGGGUUUUUUUUUCUUAUUUCUGUAAUUCUUAUUUUUGUAACAAGGUAAAUAAAAAACA
This is a long non-coding RNA of Zonotrichia leucophrys gambelii, 1787 nucleotides long. RefSeq lists it as uncharacterized. The transcript has 4 exons. Lineage: Eukaryota; Metazoa; Chordata; Aves; Passeriformes; Passerellidae. The record is from RefSeq and is a predicted model, not a curated record.